Molecule: long non-coding RNA, 595 nt
Organism: Myripristis murdjan (pinecone soldierfish)
Lineage: Eukaryota; Metazoa; Chordata; Actinopteri; Holocentriformes; Holocentridae
Exons: 3
Source: RefSeq, a predicted model, not a curated record
UGUAGCCUGUUAUCUUCCAUCAUAGAGCUGGUGGUUGCAGAUGUGGCUCCGGUGACAAAAAUAUAGACCUGCUGCUGCUUGAGUCAUUUAAACAUUGCAGAGCGAACACAGAGUGGAACAUAAAGUACCUUCAUGUGGAUAAACUCUAUUGUAGAUAUGGCCGUACAGAACACCUUGUGCAUCAAACGACAAAGAAUAAUCCAAAGGAAGAUCUUUAAUUGCAGCAGCAUGGUGGCCUGUGAGUGUAUCUGAAAAGCAAUGAAGCGGCAGUAAAGCUCCGGUCCGGAAUUAAUUUUGCUUGCGGAGCGCAGCAGUUGUGCGGAGUAGUGCAACAACACAAGGGAGUGUUGGUUUGCAUCUGCAAAUUUAUAAACUGGAGGACAGGAGGACGAUUCCAUUGUGUUGCUGUGAUCAGGAAGAGAAAACAAAGCCUCACGAGGGGAUGGGAGAGAACAAAAUGUAAUCAAUGUAAUCACAGAGCUAUAGUCAGUGUUACUGUAAUCUCCGCCUCCUGAUCAAUUACAGCAAGCUGUGCUUCAUAAACUCUGAUCCGACAAGAAAAAAGGCAAGUCUAAUAAACUGCCUAGUGAAAGCA